UGAAGAACCAAAGCUCUCUCCUCCCCUUUCCCUCCCCUCCUCGUCCUUUCGCAUUGCACCCAGUGCAGUCCCCAACGCCAAGCUCCAUUGUGGUCCCCAUCGCCAGGCUCAUUGCAGAGCUGCAGACUCCAGUCAUAAGGAUGUUGGGUAGCAAGGAGCGGAGAAGAGACGCUGUCAGCAGAACAAUAUACACAAAGCAAACGGUGGUGCAAAUCCACGUGUGACAGCUGCGCUGGUGCUAAGCAAACAGAUGAAGGCAGGACAGCAAGAAGCGGAACCACACGCAGCGAUCUCCGGCUCUUCCAUGCAGAGACCCUCCCGGACCCCUCCCGCCCCGCACGCCUUACUCCCAGUAUCAACUGCACCACUCAGCUUGCUGUUGUCUGCAAACUUGAUGAGGAUGCACUCGAUGCCAUCACUGAUGUCACUGAUAGAUACUGAAGAGCACCGGUCCCAAGACAGACCCCCGAGGGACACCACUUGUGACCAUCCUCCAGCUGGACAUAGAGCCAUUGACAGCAACUCUUUGGCUGUGACCCUCCAACCAAUUCUUUAUUCAUCUAGUAGUCCAGCCUUCAAAUCCAUCUCUCUUCAACUUAGAGGCAAGGAUGUAGUGCAGGACCACAUCAAAAGCCUUGCACAAGUCCAGGCAGAUGACAUCAGUUGUCCUUCCUUUGUCCCACAAUGCCAUCGCUCCAUGGCAGAAGGCCACCAGAUUGGUUAGGCAAGGUCUGCCUUCGGUGAAGUCAUGCUGGCUGUCUCUGAUCACUUGCUCAUCCCUCAUAUGCCCUAACAUUUUCUAGGAGGAUCUGUUCUAUGGUCUUCUCAGGCACAGAGGUAAGGCUCAUGGGCCUAUAGUUCAGGGUCUUCCUUUCUCCAUUUUUGAAAAUGGGAGUGAAGUUUCCCUUUUUCCAGUCACCAGGGACUUCACCUGGCAGCUACAACUUCUCAAAUAUGAUGGACAGAUGCUUGGCAACCACAUCAGCCAGUUCCUUCAGAACCCUGCGAUGCAUGUCAUCAGGCCCCAAAGUAGUAAUGCUAGAAUAAGUGUCUCCAGCAUAAGGCAGAAGCAGCUGAUGGGAGAUGUCCUCAAUCACAGCCUUGGACUUGGAUAGUUCUGUUCCUGCAUCACAUUGCUAAUGGAAAGUUUAAGGUCUUAGACUCUAAAUGUAUAGGCUGUUUGGAUCAGGAAAGAUAUAUCAUACCUAUCUCUUCCUUUGCUUCCCUUUAACAUUUUUAGAGAGACAUAAAAUUAAAUAUUGGUAUAGAGGGGGAUAGUCUAUACACAAAGCUCUCCAGAAAGAGACAAAGAAGAAUUCUGGUUGAAAUAAUCACUGUUUCAGUUUGUCUGCUUGCAAUUUUUGGUUUAUUAUUGAGGUGGAUGUCAGCCUCUUCUCCCAGGUAACAGCUACAGGACAACAGGUAAUGGCCUUAAGUUGUGACAGGAGAGGUUCAGUUUGGAUGUCAGGAAACAUUUCUUCUUAGAAGGAGUGGUGAGGCAUUGGCACAGACUGCCCAGGGAGGUGGGGGAGUCACCAUCCCUGGAGGUGUUCAAGAAAUGUGGAGAUGUGGCACUGGGGGACAUGGUCAGGGGGCACGGUGGGGAGGGGUUGACGGUUGGACCUGAUGAUCUUAGUGGAUUUUUCCAACCUUAAUGAUAUUAUGAUUCUAUUCUGGUUCUUUUCAGCGACGGUGUUCCCAUGGGCACAGCAGAAGGACUUUAGUGAAGCUGUACAAAAAACUAGCCAAGUGUCUGCUGGCAUUCAUAAUAAUGGGGAUCAUUGUUUAAUCUUCCUCCCCCUUCUCCCCCCCCCUCCCCCUUUUUUUUUUUCUUUAGGCUACAUUUUAAUAAUAAAAACAGAAUUAUUUCAGGUAUGUACAUAAUAUAUUUCACCCUACAGCCUAGUGAUCUGAAAGAUGCAGAAAGCCUCAUCAUCAAGGUAAAGCAGAGCUUGCCCAUCUCAAACCACAGACAGAACUGCCGUGGAUCCUUGCUGCAGUCUCAAGACUUGGAAAGGCUUCACAUGAUUAAUUUUACAAAAAUUAUGUUCCCACAGAUUUCAUAAAUUUAGAAUUGUGUCGUCUGAUAACACUUGUAGUGAAUAAAGUAAAAUCCAGGCUGAA
Molecule: long non-coding RNA, 2124 nt
Organism: Numida meleagris (helmeted guineafowl)
Lineage: Eukaryota; Metazoa; Chordata; Aves; Galliformes; Numididae
Exons: 3
Source: RefSeq, a predicted model, not a curated record